AGAUGAUUUUCUUCUUCUUUGAGGAAGGACUGUAUUGUUAUGAACUUCCCUCUGAGAACAGCUUUUGCAGCAUCCCAUAGAUUUUGACUGAUUGUGUUUUCUCUGUCAUUUAUCUCAAGUUUCAUGCCAUUGUGGUCAGAGAAGAUGCUUGAAGAAAUUUCUUUACUCUGAAAUUUGUUGACUUCAGUUAUAUGCCCCCAUAUGCAGUGAGUCCAUGAGACUAUUCCACAUGCACUUGAAAAGAAUGUAUAUUCUGAUAGUUUUGGAUGUAAUGUAUACAUUUGGGUAUAAAGUCCUGAAAAUAUCAUUAAGCGUAAUGUUUCUUUUGUGUCAUUGAAGAUCUUGUUUGGCUUACUGAUAUUCAGUCCCAAGGACCUGUGCAUUGAUGUGAGUGGGGUGUUAAAAUCUCCUCUAACCUUAUUGUAUCCCCCUCAAUUUGUCUUUUUAUGUCUGUUAGUAUUAAUUUUAUGUAUUUGAGUGCUCUUAUUUUAGAGGCAUAUAUAUUGAUGAUUGUAAUAUCCUCUUACAUUUUCCUUUUAUCAUUAGUGUCCUACUUUGCUUUUCUUUAUGGCCUUUGUUUUAAAGCCUACUUUGUCUGAGGUGAAUGUUACAAAGACUUGCUUCCUUGUCUUUUCCAUUCACAUGAUAUAUCAUUUUCCAUUCCCUCAGUUUCAGUUUAUAUGGGUCUUUGCCCUCAGUUGUGUCUCUUGGAGGCAGCAUAUUGUAGGCUUUUUGUUUUUUAAUCCAGUCUGCCACUGUCUUUUGAUUGGAGUAUUCAGUCCAUUGACAUUUAAGGUGAUUAUUGAAAAAUAUGUAUUUAUUGUGUUUUAAAACUCAUGUCCCAGUUGAGUUAGUGUUUCACUUUGUUUCAUUCCUUUCUUAUCUUUUUCAUUCUUUCUUUCUUGGAUGAUUUCCUUUUACUUUAGGGUUGUUUUCUCUUCUUUUUGGUUUUGGUGAAUUAGUGUUUGGUUUGGAUAUGUGGUUGCAAUUGUUUUUCAAGUAUGUUAACCCCUCCCUAUAUCUGCUCAUCAGUCCUCAACUGACAUUAUAAGAAAUAUUCAAAGGUCUUCUUGCAGUGAAAAAGAAAAGACUACAAGAAAUAAUGGGAGUUCCCAUUGCAGCUCAUUGGUAACAUACCCGACUCAUAUCCAUGAGGACAUGGGCUUGUUCCUUGGCCUCACUCAGUGGAUUAAGGACCUUGUGUUGCCCUGAGCUAUGGUGCAGGCUGGCAGCUACAGCUCCACUGGCCCCUAACAUGGGAACUGCCAUAGGCCACAGGUGUAGCUCCCAAAAAAGACAAAAGAUAGAUAAGAAUGGAUAGCAAGGGGAAAAUCCGACUUUAAAGGCAAAAAAUGGAAGUUCCCAUUGUGGCUUAGCAGGUUAAGAACCCAGCUCAUAUCCAGGAGGCUGCAUGGUUAAUUCCUAGCCUCACUGUGUUAAGGAUCUGGUAUAGGGACAAGCUGCAGCACGGGUCACAGAUGUGGCUCAGAUGUUGCAUUUCUGUGUCUGAAGUGUGGUCCAGAAGCUGCAGCUGUGAUUCCACCCCCAGCUCUGGUGUCAAAUCAUAUGCUGUGUUCAUAGCCCUAAAAAAAAAAAAAAAAGAAAGAA
Molecule: non-coding RNA, 1608 nt
Organism: Sus scrofa (pig)
Lineage: Eukaryota; Metazoa; Chordata; Mammalia; Artiodactyla; Suidae
Source: RefSeq, a predicted model, not a curated record